Suricata suricatta (meerkat) is the source of this 311-nucleotide long non-coding RNA. RefSeq lists it as uncharacterized. NCBI's taxonomy places the organism in Eukaryota, Metazoa, Chordata, Mammalia, Carnivora, Herpestidae. The record is from RefSeq and is a predicted model, not a curated record. The transcript has 3 exons.
CACGAGGUGAAGAUGCUGCGGGCGGAACCUGGCCGAGAGAGCGGGAUUCGGGGGCGCUAAAGUCGCCGGGGCAGGGCGGGAAGGAAGAUCCGGAGCGGGGCACAGGAUUCGGAGCUGGAGCCCCCAGGGCCUCUCCGGAACGGCGCCCUCCCGCCCCUUCUAGAUGGAAGAAAGUCAGCUCUGAGAAGAAGGCGUGAACAAGGGGCUCUGACCCUCCGGCCUCACGGGACCUCCGCUCCGUGAAGAAGAGAGCAGGCCAGCACGAGUGAGGCCGGCCCCAUGUAUCCGGAAUCGACCACGGGCUCCCCGGC